ACGAACGCUGGCGGCGUGCUUAACACCUGCCAGUCGCACGGAAAGGCCCUGCUUUUGUGGGGUGCUCGAGUGGCGAACGGGUGAGUAACACGUGAGUAACCUGCCCUUGACUUUGGGAUAACUUCAGGAAACUGGGGCUAAUACCGGAUAGGAGCUCCUGCUGCAUGGUGGGGGUUGGAAAGUUUCGGCGGUUGGGGAUGGACUCGCGGCUUAUCAGCUUGUUGGUGGGGUAGUGGCUUACCAAGGCUUUGACGGGUAGCCGGCCUGAGAGGGUGACCGGCCACAUUGGGACUGAGAUACGGCCCAGACUCUUACGGGAGGCAGCAGUGGGGAAUAUUGCACAAUGGGCGGAAGCCUGAUGCAGCAACGCCGCGUGCGGGAUGACGGCCUUCGGGUUGUAAACCGCUUUCGCCUGUGACGAAGCGUGAGUGACGGUAAUGGGUAAAGAAGCACCGGCUAACUACGUG
RNAcentral lists this ribosomal RNA (467 nucleotides) under uncultured bacterium. RNAcentral describes it as "partial 16S ribosomal RNA". It matches the Rfam family "Bacterial small subunit ribosomal RNA", at positions 29 to 507 of the family's 1533-position model. The record is from RNAcentral.